RNAcentral lists this non-coding RNA (28 nucleotides) under Mus musculus (house mouse). Lineage: Eukaryota; Metazoa; Chordata; Mammalia; Rodentia; Muridae. The record is from RNAcentral.
UGAACUGUUGAUGUUUACAGAUCUUGUA